GACCGCGUAGCUCAGUUGGAAGAGCAUUGGGCUAGUAUUCCAAAGGUCGUAGGUUCGAAUCCGACCGUGGCUG
RNAcentral lists this transfer RNA (73 nucleotides) under Paramuricea clavata. It matches the Rfam family "tRNA". From Rfam's summary of the family: Transfer RNA (tRNA) molecules are approximately 80 nucleotides in length. The record is from Rfam by way of RNAcentral. Lineage: Eukaryota; Metazoa; Cnidaria; Anthozoa; Malacalcyonacea; Plexauridae.